RNAcentral lists this ribosomal RNA (361 nucleotides) under uncultured bacterium. RNAcentral describes it as "partial 16S ribosomal RNA". It matches the Rfam family "Bacterial small subunit ribosomal RNA", at positions 338 to 713 of the family's 1533-position model. The record is from RNAcentral.
CCUACGGGAGGCAGCAGUGGGGAAUAUUGGGCAAUGGGCGCAAGCCUGACCCAGCAACGCCGCGUGAAGGAAGAAGGCUUUCGGGUUGUAAACUUCUUUUCUCAGGGACGAAGAAAGUGACGGUACCUGAGGAAUAAGCCACGGCUAACUACGUGCCAGCAGCCGCGGUAAUACGUAGGUGGCAAGCGUUAUCCGGAUUUAUGGGGGGUAAAGGGCGUUUAGGCGGGAGCGGAAGUCAGAUGUGAAAACUCAGGGCUCAACCCUGAGCCUGCAUGUGAAACUGUGGUUCGUGUGUGCUGGAGAGGCAAUCGGAAUUCCGUUUGUCGCUGUGCAAUGCGUAGCUAUCCGGCAGACCCCCAGU